AUUGAACGCUGGCGGCAUGCCUUACACAUGCAAGUCGAACGGCAGCGGGGGAGAAGCUUGCUUUUCCUGCCGGCGAGUGGCGAACGGGUGAGUAAUACAUCGGAACGUGCCCUGUAGUGGGGGAUAACUAGUCGAAAGAUUAGCUAAUCCCGCAUACGACCUGAGGGUGAAAGGGGGGGACCGCAAGGCCUCAUGCUAUAGGAGCGGCCGAUGUCUGAUUAGCUAGUUGGUGGGGUAAAGGCCUACCAGGGCGACGAUCAGUAGCUGUUCUGAGAGGACGAUCAGCCACACUGGGACUGAGAGACGGCCCAGACUCCUACGGGAGGCAGCAGUGGGGAAUUUUGGACAAUGGGCGAAAGCCUGAUCCAGCAAUGCCGCGUGUGUGAAGAAGGCCUUCGGGUUGUAAAGCACUUUUGUCCGGAAAGAAAUGGCUCUGGUUAAUACCUGGGGUCGAUGACGGUACCGGAAGAAUAAGGACCGGCUAACUACGUGCCAGCCGCCGCCGUAA
Molecule: ribosomal RNA, 508 nt
Filed under: uncultured bacterium
Lineage: Bacteria
Description: partial 16S ribosomal RNA
Rfam family: Bacterial small subunit ribosomal RNA
Source: RNAcentral